RNAcentral lists this ribosomal RNA (497 nucleotides) under uncultured bacterium. RNAcentral's name for it is "partial 16S ribosomal RNA". It matches the Rfam family "Bacterial small subunit ribosomal RNA", at positions 28 to 507 of the family's 1533-position model. The record is from RNAcentral.
GAUGAACGCUGGCGGCGUGCCUAAUACAUGCAAGUCGAGCGAACAGACGCGGAGCUUGUUCCGCUGACGAUAGCGGCGGACGGGUGAGUAACACGUGGAUCACCUCCCUAUAAGACUGGGAUAACUUCGGGACACCGGAGCUAAUACCGGAUAAUAUUUUGAACCGCAUGGUUCAAUUGUGAAAGACGGUUUUGCUGUCACUUAUCGAUGGAUCCGCGCCGCAUUAGCUAGUUGGUACGGUAACGGCCUACCACGGCAACUAUGCGUAGACGAACUGGGAGGCGGAUAGGCCGCACGGGAACGGGGACAGGGACCAUACGACUGCGGGAGGCAGCAGUAGGCAAUCGGCCGCAAUAGUCGAGAACCUUACGGAGUAACGCCGCGUGUGUUGUGAAGGUCUUCGGAGCGUGAAACUCUGUUAUGGGUGAAGAACAAAUGUGUAAGGAAAUGUGCACGUCGUGACGGUACCUGAACAGAAAGCCACGGCUAACUACGUG